Molecule: non-coding RNA, 234 nt
Organism: Pelobates cultripes (western spadefoot toad)
Lineage: Eukaryota; Metazoa; Chordata; Amphibia; Anura; Pelobatidae
Source: the annotation of a GenBank genome assembly
CUUUUCGAUGCAGGUUCUCUAGGCAACUACCUGCCUGUUGAGUUUAGCUCCAUUGAGUUAACCAAACCAGGAAGUAACAGGACCUGUUAUCUGCCUGACAGCAGGGAGGGGGUGAAACCAGGUUAAUUAAUAAAACCGUCAAUUUCUAUUGAAAUCUGUACUUUUUCUAAAACGAAAAAAGAGGGUACACAUUUUUCACACACAAAGCACUUUCAGCAAGCUAAAGUACUUUAU